This is a long non-coding RNA of Carassius gibelio (silver crucian carp), 368 nucleotides long. RefSeq lists it as uncharacterized. Lineage: Eukaryota; Metazoa; Chordata; Actinopteri; Cypriniformes; Cyprinidae. The transcript is spliced from 3 exons. The record is from RefSeq and is a predicted model, not a curated record.
CUGUCUUAAUUAAAGACAAAGGGCUCUACAGCCUGCAUGUAAAUUAGAGAUCUAUUAAAGUGCUGUCUCUCACUUUUAUGCUGGGUCAGAAUGAUGGCAGGAGAUCCUUAGAAAAAGAUUUACAGCUAUCCAUCACGCCUUAAUGCUCUAGAUCAGAGACGGGAAGGGUGACCUUAUUAACGAGGAACCAGUCAAGAUUUGACAGGUCCAGCUAAAGUGAAGCUUAGCCACAGCACUCUGGGAAGAGAACUGAAGCAGUGCUGAAAUAUGUUACAGGUAUGUACCCGAUGACUCAAGUAAUCUUCAGUAAUCGCUGCCUCAACUGAUUCACAGCAGUGAGACAACCUUUAGUCCUCUUCGGGAAACAG